CUCGGGAGUGUUUGGUGGUGUGGGGCUGGAGGCAGCUCUGGGGGUUGCGUGGGGCUGGAGGUGUCCCAAGCACAAGGAGGGGCGUAGGGGGUCGUGAGGGCUGGAGGCGUCCUGAGGCUAUGGAGAGACCUCUGGGCGUUGUGGGGGACUGGAAGCGUUCGGAGGCUACGGAGAGACCCCCAGGGGUCGUGCGGGACUGAGGGCGUUCUGCGGGCAGGGAGAGAUCCCCGGGUGUUGUGAGAGGCUGGAAUGUGUGUGUGGCCGCCAUGGGGGAGGUGAGGGUGGUAGAGGCUGAGCCGCUCCCUCAGCGCUGUGAGGGUACGGAGGGGGCUUGGGUCCUGCCGAGGGUCUGUGAGGGUACGGAGGGGGUUUGGGCAGUGCCGAGGGUCUGUGAGGGGAUGCGGGCAGUGCUGUGAGGGUACGGAGGGGGCUGGGACCCUGCCGAGGGUCUGUGAGGGGAUGGGGGCAGCGCUGUGAGGGUACGGAGGGAUUUGGGCCCUGCCGAGGGUCUGUGAGGGGAUGCGGGCAGCGCUGUGAGGGCACGGAGGGGUUUGGGCCCUGCCGAGGGUCUGUGAGGGGAUGCGGGCAGCCGGCCCCGAGCAGGGGCUGUGCGGGCAUGGUCCGCAUGGGAAGCGCUGCUUUGGGUUUCCGCAGAGCCCCAGGGUGUGCAGUGCUUGUUUCCCAGAGAGUUUGGGGUCCCUUGCCGCCCGGACAGGAGAUUGGGGGUCACCUGCUGUUGGUGGGGAAAGGCGAGCUCUGAGGCAGCUGCCCUGGGGGAAAUCCAGCUCUGCUCCAACGCGUCUCGGUGUCUUCUUCCUAAGUGCACCUCUGACUCCCUGCAGAGACCAUGACCGGGGGCUCAGGUGGUGCUGGUGCGAUCCUCAGCUCCUCUCACUUUCCUACAGCUGAUCCGGUUCCAGCUGCUUCCCACAUCUCCAGAUGAUGAAAAAAGAGCUCAUCAGUGGAUCAAGGUGUCAGAGGGGUGCAGCUGGAAAGGUUUCCAAAGGGGGCACUGGGAUGUCCCAGCCUGCAGCUGUCCCUGCUGCUCUUUGGGGAACCACUCCUGGCUGCAGCUGAACAUGGCCCAGGCCUCUCCUUGCCCACAGCCUUUCAGGACAGCUCUAUGGACUUGCUCAGUUUCUAUGAUUCUGUUAUAGCCCAACGUUAGAUGGACCAUCCCAAGGUGCUAGAAGGCUACAAGCCAAGAGUGGACCACAAAAGAAGAGCCCCAGCUGCACUGUGCCUGAAUGAGGAGCUGGAGGAAAGCUGCCCCUCAGGAAGCUGCCAAGAUCUUUGGCCUGUCCAGGGAACUGCUGCUGGCAUGGAG
Molecule: long non-coding RNA, 1327 nt
Organism: Catharus ustulatus (Swainson's thrush)
Lineage: Eukaryota; Metazoa; Chordata; Aves; Passeriformes; Turdidae
Exons: 4
Source: RefSeq, a predicted model, not a curated record